Hyaena hyaena (striped hyena) is the source of this 518-nucleotide long non-coding RNA. RefSeq lists it as uncharacterized. The transcript has 4 exons. NCBI's taxonomy places the organism in Eukaryota, Metazoa, Chordata, Mammalia, Carnivora, Hyaenidae. The record is from RefSeq and is a predicted model, not a curated record.
ACUGGGCUCUCCAGUGAUAAUGUCCUGUGGUUGCAGCUGGCCAGGCCUGCCCAGGGAGGGGACCUCCGGAUAUCGCCACCCCACCUCAGCCGCCCCCCCCACCAAGAACAGCCGCCAAUGGGACGAGAACAGCGGGACCCUGGGGUCCGGUGCUCAUCAGCUAAGCAGAACUGGAGUGUGAAAUCCAGGCUGAACCUGCCGAAUUGUGCCUGCGAAGGCUAUUCAGAGAGACCGUUCUUGGAAGAAGAUCAGGACAAUUAGCUCUUGGCUGCGGGUAGAGGGGGAAGCGAGCUAAUCAUGGUGCCUCCUUGGACUUCAGGUCCCACGCAAGUUCACGCCCCAGCUUUGUGUCUCCUGAGCUCUGGGACCUUAGCGAUGCUCUUUGGGCUGAGUCGCUGUUGCCUACUACCUUCCAGCACCCGGUGGGCUGACCCCGGGGAGGCGGCAAUCUCUCGUUGUCACUGCUCAGCAUCAGGAAACGAGGGUCCAUGUUUAUUUUUGAGAGAGAGACAGAGCAU